GGUCACAAAGAGUCGGACACGACUGAGCGGCUUCACCUGGUCUUGAUCCCAAUAGCUGUCACAUAAGCUGCAUGGAUGAGACUGCACUCUUCUGGCCCUUUGUCACUUUCCCUAAAACAGAGGUCAUUGAGUAUGGUAUCAGGAAAUAGAAAGUGAAGCUGCUGACUUCAUUCUUAGUGAAAACUUGUAAGUGAUAGGAAAGUAGGCACCUGGGUGUCAUCUUAUCAAAUUCUCUCCCUUAUAGCCUAAGGAUCUUUCCCCUCUGGUACAUUCAGAUAGACAUGGGUCACCUGGAAACACAGGCUGUAAACACUCUACUUCUAGGCUAAAUAAGUUCAUGGCUUUAGGAGUAAAAGUUUGAAAGCAUAAUGGCAGAGGUUUUUUAAACUCCUCGUUAAAUAUUGUCAUGGGUAGAAAAGAGUAGGGGUGGGGCAGAAAUCAUGGAUAUGAGUGUAUAAAUGAGUGAUGUUUCUGAGGCAGGACCAGAUGCCUUCAUGAUCCAUUCUUUAGGAAGUAUUCGAAGUAUUUAAGGGCCCAUUCCAUUCAUUAAUGAUAAUUUUUGCUAUUUCUGGAGCCAAACCAAAAUACCUUCGAAGAAAGCUGUAGCCUCUCAACCAGCAAGGCUGAAUAUUUUCAGCGAGCUUUUCCCCACUUACCUCUGAGACAAGAGUGACCACUUUGGGAUUAUUCACUUCAAGCCUCCUGAGAAUACAGCUCAGGGUGGGGGGGACUAGUCUCAGGACAUCAGUCAUACUGCCUUACCCUUGGGGACUCAUCAACUUUGACAUUCCAAAUUGUUACCCCUUCCUUACUGGGUGUGGCCCAAACCGCCAGAGGUUGGGGCUGGUACGCUGGAACAUUUGUAUCUCUAUUGCUAUAUUCCUCUAAUAACAAAUUAUGUCAUAUUUUUCUUCUUUACUAGUUUAAGGUUAUACAUUUAUGACUUAGUUUGUUAUAGUUCUCUCACUACAGUAGUAACAUACAUGAGUCUAGGGAUGGUUAUUACUGUAACUCUAUAGUUCAACUCUCCCAAGCUAUUGCUACUACAGUCAAUUUAAAGAAUAGUAUAAAUAUGUGUUACAUUUUCCCUACCCAUGAUGAUCAUCCUUUUUAGACAAUGUAUAAAUAAAGGAAACUGUCCUUGUACUGGAAAAGCAGGCUGCAGAUAUCCUUGGGAUAUAUAAAAGUGACUGUAAUGAUAAACUCAAUGUCAUUAAGCCUUCAAUUAUAAUAAAGUUGCAUGCAUCUCAUAUCAGCUACUGGAUUUUUUUACCUGUGUGGAAAUAAGGCUUUUUAAUAUUGAUUGAGUACUUGGCUAAUUGUUCUAUGGAGUAAUUAGAUCAUUCCUACUGAAUGGCUCUUCUGUGCUUCAAUGGGCUAUAUCUUCUUAGAGAUGUCUAGAGAGAUGAAACUUUUAUUAGGGAUAAUAACUCGCCAAAGAAUCUUUUGGGGGAUAACAAUUCCAUUCAUAGGAGUUGAAUAAUCUAAAUAGUCUGAAAAUUUGUCCCCAAUCUUGUAAAUAAUAUUGCAGAAUAAACACUUAAGUUGCUUAACCCAAAUUACUACAGAUGAAAUAAUAGCUUUGCCUGUUUGUUUGUUUGUUAGUGGGAAAUUACUAACACUUUAUUUUUUACAUAGAUUAACCAGGCAUGGGAGUGGUGAAACUAUCAGUAUCUAAGCAAAACUUCAAAGCAACCUGAGGGGGAACUUCCCUGGUGGUCUAGUGGUUAAGAAUUCAUCUUCCAAUGCACAUGGGUUUGAUCCCUGGUUGGGAAAUUAAGAACCCACGUGCUGUGAGGCAGCUAAGCCCUCGUCUGCAACUAGAGAGAAGCCCAUGUGCCACAAUGAAAGAUCUUGCAUGUCAUAACACAGAUCUGACAUACUGCAACUAAGACCCAAUGCAGUCAAGUAAAACAAGAAUAAAGCAACCUGAUCAUCUAAGGUAGAUUUUAAGGAGCUGUUGAGACUUGUUUUCUUGGGACAAUCUGGGAAAUCUUAGGCCAUGGUUGUAGAUACCUUCUUAUAGUACUUUAUUUUUGUUUUUUUCCCACAGUUAUAUCAUGUUUAUUAUCCAGAGUCUUGCAUUCUUCCGUGUAUCAAUCUCCUAACAGAUGAUACAAAGCGUACUAGAGUUUUCACAUGUUUCUCCAACUGCACUGCGUGGGGAGAAAACUAGAUCCUCAGGCCUGGAACAAAUUAGCUUCAGGACGAUGUGGGAGCUUCCUGGAGACCUGAGACUGCAUAAGAAUCAUUUAACUUGAAAACAAGAUCAGAAAAUAAGAAAACAAGGUGGAUGACUCCCAAAUUCAUAUCUGUAACCCAGAUCUCUUCUCUGAGCUCCAAACUUGACGAAGCCAACUUCUUGACAUUUCUAUGUGAAUGUGUCAUAGUAGAGGGAUUCAGACUCAACCUCAGACUCAAGAAAGUAACCAAGAGACUAAAACACAUGGCAAAAUAGUUCCAGCACAGCUUCAGUAAAUAUAGUCCUAUAGUGAUGGAUUUCCUGUGAGUAAUCUUCUAACUUGUAAGAAAUUCUCUUAAAGCUUGCUCCAUGAUUGAUGUGUAAACCUUCUCCUGAAACACUAAUUUUCCAACUCCUUUUCGUUAUAGAAAAAUGUAAUGGAAAAAAAAACUCUUUAUUGGCUAUAUUUUAUUUAACACAAUGGUUUCAAUUCUUUAAUGUCCAUUAUAAAAUUGUAUAAAAUGGAUUCAUAAAUUAAUAUAUAAUA
Non-coding RNA from Odocoileus virginianus texanus, 2729 nucleotides. NCBI's taxonomy places the organism in Eukaryota, Metazoa, Chordata, Mammalia, Artiodactyla, Cervidae. The record is from RefSeq and is a predicted model, not a curated record.